This 207-nucleotide unclassified non-coding RNA is filed under the name uncultured fungus. RNAcentral describes it as "sequence contains ITS1". Lineage: Eukaryota; Fungi. The record is from RNAcentral.
UAUAUUGUCAUACAUAUGUAACCAAUAUGCAAAACAUCAUGUUUGUAACCGUAAUCAUAGACACUCUCGUGUCUACAGGCAGUGCACAGGUGGAACAGAAGAAACAGACGACCAGAGGUGUGCACAUUGCCCCAAAGGGCCAGCACAACAGCAUCCGGCCAGAAGUUUCAUUCGAUAAUGAUCCUUCCGCAGGUUCACCUACGGAAA